UAAGGAAUAUUGGUCAAUGGAGGCAACUCUGAACCGGCCAUGCCGCGUGGAGGAUGAAGGUCCUCUGGAUUGUAAACUUCUUUUAUAUGGGACGAAAAAAGGCUUUUCUAAGUCGUCUGACGGUACCAUAUGAAUAAGCACCGGCUAACUCCGUGCCAGCAGCCGCGGUAAUACGGAGGGUGCAAGCGUUAUCCGGAUUCACUGGGUUUAAAGGGUGCGUAGGUGGGUUGGUAAGUCAGUGGUGAAAUCCCCGAGCUUAACUUGGGAACUGCCAUUGAUACUAUCAGUCUUGAAUACCGUGGAGGUCGGCGGAAUAUGUCAUGUAGCGGUGAAAUGCUUAGAUAUGACAUAGAACACCAAUUGCGAAGGCAGCUGGCUACGCGGAUAUUGACACGUGAGGAC
Molecule: ribosomal RNA, 402 nt
Filed under: uncultured bacterium
Lineage: Bacteria
Description: bacterial SSU rRNA
Rfam family: Bacterial small subunit ribosomal RNA
Source: RNAcentral